UCAGAGUACGUGAAACCGCUUAGGGGUUAAGCCCGAUGAACCCGAAUAUCCGAAUUGAGAAAUUCAAUACUGUUUUAGUUUUUAAAUAAACGACAGUGUGCACUUUUCUCAUAGUAGGACAUUGCGAUCCAUUAGAUCGUUUAUCAAACGGCCCAUGUAGUCAGUUUGACCUGUCUGCAAUAUUUACUUAUUGUAUGGUUAAUGCUACUGUGGUGACCUGGUAAACAGCUGAUGGAGCUUAACAAUCAUGCAAACAUACAUCCGAUGUAUCACGGUUUCGAUGAUGUAUUUCAUUGGGAUGCAGUGAUCGCAUGUAUUUGAUUAGCAAUGCGAUAGAUUUGGGAUACCUUCGGGACCCGUCUUGAAACACGGACCAAGAAGUCUAACAUGUGUGCAAGUCAUUGGGUAUUUGUUGAAACCUAAAGGCGAAAUUAAAAUAACUAUUUUAAUGGGAUUACAAGCAAUCUAACGAUUGUUUCUCCAUCCCGGGGCGUUCUAUAUGAACAUGGUUUAAGCAAUUAGACCCUCUGUUCGAGAGCGUACCUUGAGCAUACAUGCUGUGACCCGAAAG
This 571-nucleotide ribosomal RNA is filed under the name Dziedzickia bifida. Its description in RNAcentral is "eukaryotic LSU rRNA". It matches the Rfam family "Eukaryotic large subunit ribosomal RNA", at positions 390 to 822 of the family's 3401-position model. Lineage: Eukaryota; Metazoa; Arthropoda; Insecta; Diptera; Mycetophilidae. The record is from RNAcentral.